RNAcentral lists this ribosomal RNA (406 nucleotides) under uncultured bacterium. RNAcentral describes it as "partial 16S ribosomal RNA". It matches the Rfam family "Bacterial small subunit ribosomal RNA", at positions 30 to 526 of the family's 1533-position model. The record is from RNAcentral.
AUUGAACGCUGGCGGCAGGCCUAACACAUGCAAGUCGAACGAGUGGCGGACGGGUGAGUAAUGUCUGGGAAACUGCCCGAUGGAGGGGGAUAACUACUGGAAAAGGUAGCUAAUACCGCAUACCAUCGGAUGUGCACAGAUGGGCUUAGCUUGUAGGUGAGGUAACGGCUUACCUAGGCGACGAUCCCUAGCUGGUCUGAGAGGAUGACCAGCCAAACGGGAACUGAGACAGGGUCCAGACGCCUACGGGAGGCAGCAGUGGGGAAUAUUGCACAAUGGGCGAAAGCCUGAUGUAGCCAUGCCGCGUGUAGGAAGAAGGUCUUCGGGUUGUAAAGGACUUUCAGCGGGGAGGCGUUACCCGCAGAAGAAGCACCGGCUAACUCCGUGCCAGCAGCCGCGGUAAUUC